Gymnothorax javanicus (giant moray) is the source of this 73-nucleotide non-coding RNA. NCBI's taxonomy places the organism in Eukaryota, Metazoa, Chordata, Actinopteri, Anguilliformes, Muraenidae. The record is from the annotation of a GenBank genome assembly.
GGCUCGGUGGUGCAGUGGUUAGCAUUGUCGCCUCACAGUAAGAAGUUUGUGGGUUCGAAACUGGUCUGGGGCC